This 572-nucleotide long non-coding RNA is filed under the name Nicotiana tabacum (common tobacco). RNAcentral describes it as "long non-coding RNA (NTAB_LNC016495)". The record is from RNAcentral. Lineage: Eukaryota; Viridiplantae; Streptophyta; Magnoliopsida; Solanales; Solanaceae.
CCCGAUUACAAUAUUUUUGUGUGCUAUUGCCCACUCUUCCAAGUGGUACCGGGACCCCCGGACCCCGAUCGCCUAAAAUUUUUCCGGGCCGUCGAAUACGACCUAAGGAACCAUAGUCACCGCCCCGGCAUCAUCCUUUCUCAUUUUUUGUAUAUUUCGGCCGAAAAACUAGAAUUACGCUCGAUUCCCAUAUUUUCGUGUGCUAUACCCACGCCUUCCAAGUGGUCCGGGGACCCACGCAUUCCGAGUUGUCCCAAGAGCCUCGGACCCCGAUCGCCUAAAAUUUUUCCGGGGAAUCAAAUACAACCUAAGGAACCAUAGUAUCCGCCCAGCCAUGAUCGUUCCUUAUUGUUUGCGUUUUUCGGCCAAACAACUAGAAUUCCGCGCGAUUCCCAUAUUUUUGUGUGUUAUAGCCCACACCUUUCGAGUGGUCCCGGGACCUCCGGACCCCUAUCGUCUAAAUUUUUUCCGGACUAUCAAAUACGACCUAAGGAACCAUAGUAUCCGCCCCGCCAUGAUCGUUCCUCAUUUUUUGCAUUUUUUGGCCAAACAACUAGGAUUCCGGGCCAUCC